GAUCUGGUUCAGGAUGAACGCUAGCGGCAGGCUAACACAUGCAAGUCGAGGGGCAACGCGAGUAGCAAUACUUGGCGGCGACCGGCGCAAGGGUGCGUAACGCGUGAGCAACAUGCCCGUAUCAGGGGGAUAAUCCAGGGAAACUUGGUCUAAUACCCCAUAGUAAUUUUGUAAGGCAUCUUAUAAGAUUUAAAGCUUUGGUGGAUACGGAUUGGCUCGCGUGACAUUAGCUGGAUGGUAAGGUAACGGCUUACCAUGGCUAUGAUGUCUAGGGGUUCUGAGAGGAAGGUCCCCCACACUGGAACUGAGACACGGUCCAGACUCCUACGGGAGGCAGCAGUGAGGAAUAUUGGACAAUGGAUGGAAAUCUGAUCCAGCCAUGCCGCGUGAAAGGAAGAAGGUCCUAUGGAUUGUAAACUUCUUUUGUAUGGGAGCAAUAAGGCCUACGAGUAGGUUGAUGAGAGUACCAUACGAAUAAGCACCGGCUAACUCCGUGCCAGCCGCGGC
RNAcentral lists this ribosomal RNA (507 nucleotides) under uncultured bacterium. Its description in RNAcentral is "bacterial SSU rRNA". It matches the Rfam family "Bacterial small subunit ribosomal RNA", at positions 15 to 518 of the family's 1533-position model. The record is from RNAcentral.